RNAcentral lists this transfer RNA (76 nucleotides) under Lentisphaerota bacterium. Its description in RNAcentral is "Lentisphaerae bacterium (anaerobic digester metagenome) tRNA-Lys". It matches the Rfam family "tRNA". Rfam says of the family: Transfer RNA (tRNA) molecules are approximately 80 nucleotides in length. Their secondary structure includes four short double-helical elements and three loops (D, anti-codon, and T loops). The record is from RNAcentral. RNAcentral also lists the same sequence under 1 other name. Lineage: Bacteria; Pseudomonadati; Lentisphaerota.
GGGACGGUAGCUCAGUAGGUAGAGCACGAGCCUUUUAAGCUUGUGGUCGCGGGUUCGAGCCCCGCCCGUCUCACCA